Enhydra lutris kenyoni (northern sea otter) is the source of this 392-nucleotide long non-coding RNA. RefSeq lists it as uncharacterized. Lineage: Eukaryota; Metazoa; Chordata; Mammalia; Carnivora; Mustelidae. The record is from RefSeq and is a predicted model, not a curated record. The transcript has 3 exons.
AUAAUGCUGAAAAAGUGAAGACUCCAGAGGCCACAAUAGUAGCAAGAUAUCAAGGAGAAGUGUAAACAUCAUUCAAGGACUUAAAGUAGAGUUUUCAAAAUGGAUGAAAGACCUAAAUUUGAGAUAAGAAUCCAUCAAAAUCCUAGAAGAGAACAUACGCAGCAACCUCUUUGGCUUUGGCCACAGCAAAUUCCUGCUAGACACAUCAUAAAAGGCAAGGGAAAUAAAAGGAAAAGUUAACUAUUGGGACUUCAUCAAGAUAAAAACCUUUUGCACAACAAAGGAAACAGUCAACAAAACUAACAGACAAUCUACAGAAUGGGAGAAUAUAUUUGCAAUGUCUUGUCAGACAAAGGGCUAAUACCCAAAGUCUAUAAAGAAGUUAUCAAAAU